AAAAAAUAAACUAUAGAUUAUGUAGUUGUUGAAGUAAACAUUAAUAACAUCUAAUUGUAAUUCAAAGAUGAUCAACUGAGGCAUAAUUUACCAUUUAGAGUAUUACAUACUGUUAAAACAUAAUGGGAGAACAACUUGUAUUGAGAAUGAUCCACAAGGAAAGAGAAUGGCAAAACUCUCAAGUUCACCAAGACUCGUCUGCUAGUCUCAUGGUUAGGAUUUCAAUCUCACAAUUACCAUUUCACAUAUUUGAAUCUCCAUGAGCACUAGCAACAACCAUUGAUGCACAAGUUUUCAAAUGCUUGAAGAAGACAUGUGCUUGUUCUUCUAUCCUCCAAAAAUUUCAAAUUCAUGAAUUAGUCAACUAUAGGAAGCUUUCGGAUGAAACCGGGCCCAUAUCCUAAAAUUCAAAACAGAGGCAAUAAAAUAAUAAGAGAGAGCAUAGGGGAGUUGAAUUACCAAGAGACAAAUGUGUAAUUAAGUAUUUGCUUAGAUGCAUUUACUGUUUUAUAUUUUUAAAAGGAGAAAAUAGCUUGUUUAUAUAAAAUACAAAAAAAAUUAAAGACUUACAUUCACAUGAUAAUAGUUUUAAAAAUUGUUUAAAAUUUUGAAGUAUUAAAAAUGUUUUCUUACCUCAAAUUUUAAAAUUUUUUGAUGUAAUUUUAAAAAAAAUAAAAGGUAAGUCUACUUUUUGUACAAGAGUUUCUACUUUUUAUAUAGAAAUAAUUCUUAUUUUUGUUUUUUUCUCUCUUAAAAGUAUAUCUAAACAAGAUCAAAGACUGCAUUAAAACUUCAUCUUGUCAUAAUGAAUAUACCGUCUAAAGUAAGCCACUAAAUAAUAUGAAUCCUUUGCUCUUUACCACCUCAUUGUAGAUUGAAAUUUCAAAUUUGUGCUCGAUUCCAAGGCUUUUGAGAAGGAUUCCUCACUCCCAAGAGUACUUUAGAAGAUGAAUCCCUAUGUUAAUUGCAAAAAAACAUCUAGUGAGUAAUAAUGUGAAUUCAUCCUAUUCUUAAGACAAACUUUGUCACAAGUAUCUAUAGUACGAAUGCUCACAAAUUAUCAAACUUACAAUUAUUCAUGUGAAGGAAAAUCCACCCAAAGUAUCCUGAUUUCUCAAAAACAGAGUCAAUUAGGAAUAUGACCUGGUUGUAGGAGCUUCCUAUAGAGCAGAUAAUAUUCAAAAUAAUUGUCAUUUUUAAAGAUUAAGCUUGAUCCACAGCACAAAAUAUUAAAAUUAUAACUAUUCCAUAUAUGGAAAGAAAACAUCUCAAAAGCAAACUUAGAAGAUAAAAAUAGAUAUAAAAUAAAUUUUUGCAUAGAAUUGAAUAAUUUUUUUCAUAGACUCUAAAAAGUAGAUAAGACAAAAAUAAAUUUCACUUAAAGGACACACUUCUAGAAUUCUAAAAGAGCAUAUAGUAUUUUCAUAUUAGACUUGUUAUUCACCCAAUUGAAUAUGACAAGAAAACAAGCAGAAUAUAGUAAUAGUUACCUACCUCAGCUAGAGCUUAUUACAAGCUUUGACCGUUUCACUUUGGGACAGUGAGGUUGUAGUUCUAACUCAUUGAGCUCCUUUGUUAAGACCACCUGCCCAUACCAAAUUAACGAAAGGGAAAAAAAGAAAUAACUUAAAAUCCUUUUUUUUUUUUUUGGGUUUGCGUGUGUCGUAAGGGUGUAAUUCACCAUAAAACAUCUUGUAAAAACUGAAGAAACCUUAUAUGUAAUACAUGACCCGAACUUGCUAAGAAUAUUGUCACUAUCAUUGUCCUAUCAAUUCAGUUUGUGAUGUACUAGCUCAAUUGCCUGUUAGAAUGAUUCAAGUAAUGAAUAACUUUCCAUUAGUAUUUGGUAAAAUAGAAUAAAUACCAUCAAAAUAUUCAAAUAUGCUCACAGUUCAUCAUAGUGUGAGAGUUGAUUGCAUUUCUUUCAUUCCAUAAGAAUCUCCACUUUUUAGUCCUACUAUGAUGGGGAAAUUAAAUUAGGUUAUACUUACCAAUCAAAAAAAUCAGAAAAACUAGUUUCAAAUUUAAGGGAGAGGUACAAGAAAAUACUGUUGUCAUAAAAUAGAAUAAAAUAUUAAGAAGCAAAAUCAAAGUUUUGAGGAAAAUGCCAAUUCACUUCCUAUAAAUUUGACAAAUCUUGUUUGAAAAUCUGAAAUGUGUUUAACCUUUUCUAUAUUUUUAAAUAUUUUUUUAAAUAACUUUAAUUUGUAAAUACUUAAUUUUCAAUCAUUCUCCAUAUUUGUAUAAUUAUUUUAAAAACAAUAUUUAGAAAAAAGUUAAAACCACCAAAAACAAUUAAAAUAUAUUCUUGGAAAACACUUUGUUUUUUGUUUUCUGAUUAUCAAACAUGUUAUGACUUUUUUUUUUUUUGUUAAAAAUAGAAAACCAUUUUUGAAAACAACUCCAAACACACCCUAAGGCUCUUUUAGCUUGUUGCCUUGUAUGCAUAAGCAGAAAAAAGGAACAAAAGAUGAGAAACAAGGUGUUCAACUAUAUUUCCUAGUAGUUUCAAAGGUUUGAUGAGAAAUGCUACAUGCUAAAAUGAACCAUAUUACUAGGCAAUUGAAAAGUUUGAGAGAGUGAUACCUCUUGCUUUUUUGUAGUGCAUAUUUCCAAGCAAAGGGAAGAAUAAAUUAGGGAGCAUGCCUGAGUGAUUAAGGUACACAGUAAAAUCAAAUAAGAGGCUUCAUUAGCAUAAUAAGAUGCAAAUUUGGUUUAAAAUCAAACAGAACUCAAGCAAAAUCUUAAUUACCUUGUAUUUAUUAAUGGUGAUGGAAAUAGUAUUCUGGCUUUAAGCAAAAUGAACCACCAGAUGUAAGGCCCCUUGCAUCAUGAAAUUGAAGCAUAUUGAAAACGGAAAAAAGAAAGAAAGAAACAAUGCAACAAGACUUUUAAUAGGUGUAUCAACCAUGUAUCUCUAUGUGAAAUUAUUGCCAUGUGAAGCUGGUGGCAAAUUCGAUUGGGCUUAAAACUCUUUUUGGACCUGAUUUAAAUUUUUUUUUAAAAUUUACAUGGCCUAGAAUGAUGCAUUUAGUACUGCUCUUUCAUGUUUAGGAUAUUUACCUUUGCAGAUGCUAAUAAGCCGCAUCAAUGGCCAUGAAUUUUGCUUUCAUCUACAUCAGUCCCUUUGAUUGCCAUCCUGCAUCUAAAAAGUAAAUUCCAUCAUUAUCAAGAAGCAAAAGCAAUAUUUUGAGUUAGAAAUGGAGAUUGUUUUUUAUAUCAGACUUACAAUUCAAUAGACUAAUAAUCACCUGUGUUUGGAAGAGGAUAGUCCCAAAUACCUUAAAUAGGUUUGUUUGUAAAAAUCUUCCUCUGCACCAUAUCCAACCCAAGAUCUAUAGGCUGACCAACGAAUGUAAUCAUAAGCAGGUUGUUUUUCCAACUCUUUUUGACUGCUUUUCCAUGUUGAUAUGAUUAAAAAGGCAUGGCCCAGUAGCCAUUUUAUUUUAAAAUUAAAAUAGGAAAUAUAAGAUAAAAAAUGAAAAUAGCAUAUGUACCAUGCUUUUCCUAGGCCCUUUCAUCUUCUUUUCACCAUCACCAUAUUAGAGAAUGAACAACCAACACCACAUUCACUUCAGACAUGGAAUCUGCAGGAUGAAACUCAAUAUUCCUUUCUGUUAGCAUAAUAAUGAAAAAGAGUUAUAUGUUUUCAAUGUAAAAGGCAAAAAAAAUAAAAUCAAGAGCAU
This 3686-nucleotide long non-coding RNA is filed under the name Vitis vinifera (wine grape). RNAcentral describes it as "long non-coding RNA (VVIN_LNC006840)". Lineage: Eukaryota; Viridiplantae; Streptophyta; Magnoliopsida; Vitales; Vitaceae. The record is from RNAcentral.